RNAcentral lists this ribosomal RNA (351 nucleotides) under uncultured bacterium. RNAcentral describes it as "bacterial SSU rRNA". It matches the Rfam family "Bacterial small subunit ribosomal RNA", at positions 527 to 881 of the family's 1533-position model. The record is from RNAcentral.
GGAAGGUCCGGGCGUUAUCCGGAUUUAUUGGGUUUAAAGGGAGCGCAGGCUGCGAGGCAAGUCAGCGGUCAAAUGUCGGGGCUCAACCCCGGCCUGCCGUUGAAACUGUCCUGCUAGAGUUCGAGUGGGGUAUGCGGAAUGCGUUGUGUAGCGGUGAAAUGCAUAGAUAUGACGCAGAACUCCGAUUGCGAAGGCAGCAUACCAACUCGCGACUGACGCUGAGGCACGAAAGCGUGGGGAUAGAACAGGAUUAGAUACCCUGGUAUUCCACGCCGUAAACGAUGAUGGCUAACCGCCGGCGACACACUGUCGGCGGCCAAGCGAAAGCAUUAAGCAUCCCACCUGGGGAGU